UUGACCUCGGAUCAGGUAGGGAUACCCGCUGAACUUAAGCAUAUCAAUAAGCGGAGGAAAAGAAACCAACAGGGAUUGCCCCAGUAACGGCGAGUGAAGCGGCAAGAGCUCAAAUUUGAAAGCUGGCUCCUUCGGGGUCCGCAUUGUAAUUUGCAGAGGAUGCUUCGGGAGCGGUCCCCAUCUAAGUGCCCUGGAACGGGACGUCAUAGAGGGUGAGAAUCCCGUAUGGGAUGGGGUGUCCGCGCCCGUGUGAAGCUCCUUCGACGAGUCGAGUUGUUUGGGAAUGCAGCUCUAAAUGGGUGGUAAAUUUCAUCUAAAGCUAAAUAUUGGCCGGAGACCGAUAGCGCACAAGUAGAGUGAUCGAAAGAUGAAAAGCACUUUGAAAAGAGAGUUAAAAAGCACGUGAAAUUGUUGAAAGGGAAGCGCUUGCGACCAGACUCGCUCGCGGGGUUCAGCCGGCAUUCGUGCCGGUGUACUUCCCCGCGGGCGGGCCAGCGUCGGUUUGGGCGGUCGGUCAAAGGCCCUCGGAAGGUAACGCCCCUAGGGGCGUCUUAUAGCCGAGGGUGCAAUGCGACCUGCCUAGACCGAGGAACGA
RNAcentral lists this ribosomal RNA (595 nucleotides) under Penicillium sp. G4. RNAcentral describes it as "eukaryotic LSU rRNA". It matches the Rfam family "Eukaryotic large subunit ribosomal RNA", at positions 1 to 599 of the family's 3401-position model. Lineage: Eukaryota; Fungi; Ascomycota; Eurotiomycetes; Eurotiales; Aspergillaceae. The record is from RNAcentral.